AGCAUGUGGUUUAAUUCGAUGCAACGCGAAGAACCUUACCUACCCUUGACAUCCAGAGAAUCUGUUAGAGAUAGUAGAGUGCCUUCGGGAACUCUGAGACAGGUGCUGCAUGGCUGUCGUCAGCUCGCGUCGUGAGAUGUUGGGUUAAGUCCCGUAACGAGCGCAACCCUUAUCCUUAGUUGCCAGCACAUAAUGGUGGGAACUCUAGGGAGACUGCCGGUGAUAAACCGGAGGAAGGUGGGGACGACGUCAAGUCAUCAUGGCCCUUAUGGGUAGGGCUACACACGUGCUACAAUGGUCGGUACAGAGGGCCGCGAACUCGCGAGAGUAAGCAAAUCCCAGAAAGCCGAUCCUAGUCCGGAUUGGAGUCUGCAACUCGACUCCAUGAAGUUGGAAUCGCUAGUAAUCGCGGAUCAGAAUGCCGCGGUGAAUACGUUCCCGGGCCUUGUACACACCGCCCGUCACACCAUGGGAGUGGGUUGCAAAAGAAGUGGGUAGACUAACCUUCGGGAGGUCGCUCACCACUUUGUGAUUCAUGACUGGGGUG
Molecule: ribosomal RNA, 547 nt
Filed under: uncultured bacterium
Lineage: Bacteria
Description: bacterial SSU rRNA
Rfam family: Bacterial small subunit ribosomal RNA
Source: RNAcentral